GACGAACGCUGGCGGCGUGCCUAACACAUGCAAGUCGAGCGGAGACAGUUUGGAGCUUGCUUCGAACUGUUUUAGCGGCGGACGGGUGAGUAACGCGUGAGCAACCUUUCUCUUACUGGGGAAUAACACCGGGAAACUGGUACUAAUACCGCAUGAGACCACAAUGUCGCAUGGCAUAGGGGUCAAAGAUUUAUCGGUAAGAGGUGGGCUCGCGUCUGAUUAGAUAGUUGGUGGGGUAACGGCCUACCAAGUCGACGAUCAGUAGCCGACCUGAGAGGGCGAUCGGCCACAUUGGGACUGAGACACGGCCCAA
This 313-nucleotide ribosomal RNA is filed under the name uncultured bacterium. RNAcentral's name for it is "bacterial SSU rRNA". It matches the Rfam family "Bacterial small subunit ribosomal RNA", at positions 28 to 334 of the family's 1533-position model. The record is from RNAcentral.